ACAAUAACUGAAAUAUCCACGUCACUCGGAAACCCUAGAAUGCCGCUUGUUUAUUCCCAGGUCGCCGCACGCCGUUGCUGAGAUCGCUGCACGCCAUUGCUGCUCGUCCCCGCACGCCGUUGCUACUCAUCGCUGUCGCUGCUCGUCGCCGCACGCCGUCGCUGCUCAUUACCGCACGCCGUCGUUGCUCGUCGCCGCAGGCUGUCGCUGCUCGUCACCGCACGCCGCCGCUACUCGUCGCAAUGCACCAGAGCUGUGACUGCACGACCUCCGUUCGUAGCAUCCCUUCCCCUUCAAAUCAGGUUUAGCCGUUCAGACUUCAGGGCAGACUGCAGAGCCUCUGCCGCAGAGGCCGAGAGGCGCACACGCUGACGCACAGUUCACGUCUCCACACAGAGGGCCAAAUCCCCCUUCUUCUCCUCUGAAUUGGCUUGGACAGGGAUUUUUACUUGUUGAUUUGGUUAGAUUCAGAAUUGGACCAUUUGGUGCUCUCGAUAUGUGAAUGGAUCGCCUUGGCUGAUACUCGAGGGCCUCAAGCUACAGUUCAGUCACACGUUCUUAGCUUGGGAAACUGUCUGUUUAUCUUAGCUUUGAAGGCGAUUCGCUGAAGUGCGGACUAUCGAACCAGGUUCAGGACCCGAUCUCUCCAGACUGCUGCAACACAACCCUCCAUAGGCCCCUCGCCAUCUCUCACUCUCAUCACAGUCUCAGCAAGCACUAUCAACGCCACUGCUCAGGGAGUCGCCAAACAAUGCAGGAAAUCCAGACAGACAGACGGACCAAACUCCACACCAUUACAGACAGUUUUUACUACCCCGCUAAGAGGGUGAGUUUUGAGCUUGGAUCAACUUGUUUCUAGUGUAUGAUUCUAGUUUUGUCUUUUGAGGUUGUGACGAUUAUAUAUAUACAUUACAGACAUAGUGAGGUUUUUUAUAAACUCCGGUACUAUAUAUUUUGUAUGGAAAUUAUGUUUACAGCUGCUUAGGUGUCC
Malania oleifera is the source of this 991-nucleotide long non-coding RNA. RefSeq lists it as uncharacterized. Lineage: Eukaryota; Viridiplantae; Streptophyta; Magnoliopsida; Santalales; Ximeniaceae. The transcript has 2 exons. The record is from RefSeq and is a predicted model, not a curated record.